GGGCGAUUAGCUCAGUUGGUCAGAGCGUCCCGUUCACAUCGGGAAGGUCAUCCGUUCAAAUCGGAUAUCGCCCACAA
Molecule: transfer RNA, 77 nt
Filed under: Fidelibacterota bacterium
Lineage: Bacteria; Pseudomonadati; Fidelibacterota
Description: Candidatus Marinimicrobia bacterium tRNA-Val
Source: RNAcentral